Molecule: ribosomal RNA, 245 nt
Filed under: Burkholderia anthina
Lineage: Bacteria; Pseudomonadati; Pseudomonadota; Betaproteobacteria; Burkholderiales; Burkholderiaceae
Also listed under: 1 other name
Description: partial 23S ribosomal RNA
Rfam family: Bacterial large subunit ribosomal RNA
Source: RNAcentral
CCGGAGUGGACGAACCUCUGGUGUACCGGUUGUCACGCCAGUGGCAUCGCCGGGUAGCUAUGUUCGGAAGAGAUAACCGCUGAAAGCAUCUAAGCGGGAAACUCGCCUUAAGAUGAGAUAUCCCUGGAGGCUUGACCUCCUUGAAGGGUCGUUCGAGACCAGGACGUUGAUAGGUCAGGUGUGUAAGCGCAGUAAUGCGUUCAGCUAACUGAUACUAAUUGCCCGUAAGGCUUGAUCCUAUAACA